CCCUCCCCUCCCCUAACCCAUAUCCCCUAAGGCAGUCAGGGCAGGUGGGGCAGGGCAGGGCUGGCUGCAACAGCACUGGCCUGGCGGUCUCCAUUGAAAGGCUUUGGUUCUCUUUUCCUUUGCAGCAGGAGGGACCAGCAGCAGUGCGAGAAAGAGGUGGCUGCCCUGGGCCUUUGCUCUGCAGCAGGGCCCCUCUGGGGCUGCCCAGGUCCCGGGGCAGGAGGACUCUGGCUGCAGCAGGGCACUCCUUGGGCAGCCCCUGGCAGCCUCGGUGUGGAGGAGGCACAAUGCCUCAGCCCAUACAGGUAAGGCAGCCUGAACCAGAACUGCCCAUCCCUGCAUCCAGUUGCUGCGCAGCCAGUGUCUGCACAAGCACCACUGAGCUCCUCAACCAUGUCUCAGCCUUCUGCUGCCAUUCUCUCGGCAGCAGGAGACAGGGAGCCCAGAGGGCAGAGCUCUGGCCCCAGCCACUGUUCUUGUACCAGGGCACCUCCUCACACGCGUCCCUGCCCUCCUGCCUCUCCUGCAGGAGCUGCUGGCUGUCCUGCACAAGGAAGGGCCCACAACGCAUCUUUCACAAAGUUGCUGGUGCAGUUCAGGAGCUAGAGCAGGCUCUGGACCGUGCUUGUGGUCAUGGUAAGCCAGGUCAUGCUGGUUCUGGCCAUUGUCUUCAAGGUGAGCCUUCCUGACCUAGCGCUGCAGAGGCUCCUGCCUGGGCCACCAUGCUCCAAGGCUCACUGGCAGCCCUUGGUCUUGCAGGCUUCCUGAGAAGCAUCCCUGCCAAGCUCCUCACCUAUGAGGGCUGGAUGGCAGACAUGCAGAUGGCCAGCAGGGAGAACAAGAUCUCUCAGCUGAAAGUGUAAGCAUGAGCAGCAAGCAUUGCUAGAAACCUGGCACUCGCCUGAAAGGGGACACUCUCAUGAAGAGGCUCUGUUCUUGGGCAGCUCCCUCUUGCCGACCUGCAGUCCCAUUGCGGGGCAAUGCACAGGGAGCCUUCACACACAUCAGCCAGCACAUGUCCACCAGCCUCAUGACCUGCAGCAACCUGGCCAUCUGCCUGGGGCCAAACCUGCUAAGCACACCACAGGAGGAGCAACUGGAGCUCUGGCACGUGUUGCCAAAAACGACUGGAUGCAGUGCUCAACCAUGGUGACAAGGGCUGCUUAGCACACUCUCAGGCCCUUGGGCUGAGAGCAAGGCUUUGCCGUGCACAGGUGAAGGUGCUGGUGGACUUCAUGAUGGAGAACGUGGAACGAUAUCUUUGGUAGGAGACUGCUGGCCCAGAGGACUCACAAGCGCCCACAGAGAUAUGCACAGAGCUGCACUGGGAAGAGCAAAGUGGCCCUGCAAGCCAAGAUGAUGAGGAGCUCCAGGCAAAGAGCUAUGUCCAUGCAUCUUCUUUGCUGCCAAAAAUCUGUCAAGAUGAUGGUGUAGAGGCGACAAUGCUGGAGGCCCAAAAGACAGAGUUAUGUCAGCAGCACAAAGCUGGGUGAAAGGCAUCCUGAAGAGGUGCACAGUUUCUCGGGAGGCCAAGGAUCUGCUGUGCCUCCUGCUAAACACCUGCCUCUUUUCGCCUUUUGCCUAACUUGUUUCCUUCCUUCCUUCCUGAAAUCCUUUGUUCCUUCCUGGUGCAGUGUGUCCUGGAGAGGCGCACAGUUUCUCAGGAGGCCAAGGAGCUACUGUCGCUUCUGCUCACCACCCUUCUCUUGACCUUUGUGCCUUCCUUCCUUAUAGCAAGUACACUGACACAUGUUAGCACAGACUGGACAAGCUGCUUCUCCAGUGCUUUAGGAUCAUGCUUCAUCAAUGGACAAAAGACUUGCAGAUGGGAGCAGGAGGGGAGGAACUGUCAACUUGAGGGAGCUUCUGCUCAGAUGGCAGUUUAUGCCAUCUCCCUCCAUUCUCUUUGGGGGCAUCUGGACUGUGUGAGAGGGGGCUGAUGGUGAAACCACAUCUGCUUUGUGGAGCUAAGGGGGCAAUUUAGUACUUGCUGCCUUACUCCUCCAACCUCUUUCUUGCCACCUUUCACCUCCAGACGCUUUAGGCACCUCCAGAUUUGCCUCCAAAUAGAGAGAGCAGGUAAAAGGCACUUGCAUUGGCUCCUUUUAACAAAAAAAGACUUAGCUCAUGCCUCCUGACUUUGCCCAUCUAAUCCAAGCAUACGCAUCAAGGCUUGCAGGCUAUCCCCAGGCAGAGGAGCUCAGCAAGAAAUAACUGACCAGAAACUGGGUCCAGAAACAAGAAUACCAACCCAAGAAGAAAAGGACGAAGAGGGAUGGCAGGAGACACUAAUAAUGCAGGAGGCUGCAGCAGACCAGAAAGCCCAGAGCAACACGCUAGUGUUUGAGGGAUGGUGUGGAGUGGUGUGGAGUCCUUCAGUCUGCUGAUGUGCUGUGUACAAUGGGGUACCUUUAAAAAAAGUAAGAGGAAACAGAUUUUUUUUUCCUGGUCCCAUAGCUAUGACAUUAUUGUAUUGCACUAAGUUAUGGUUUGCAUAUUGCACUGUAUGUACACUGUUCUGUAUUCCCCCGUGUCUGUGAAGUUUGUUCAGCCCUCCCUUCGGCCCUUCCCACCGGCAGGAUCUCCUUGGUUACCAUUCAGUUUUUCCCCUCCCCUCGCCCUGGGUUAAAAAUUCCUCCACCAUCUUCUCUUUCUCUCUAUCUUCCCUUGGAAUCCAUUCGGGAAUAAACUGCUUGACCCUAUCCUGGAAAAGGGAACCUCCUUUCUCUUCUGCCUUGUCCAUGUGGGUUCCACAUUCUCCCCUGGUUUGGAGCUAGCCAGAAGGACCAGAGUGAAGGAAGAACCCACACGACACCACUGUCAUAAUCAAAAGCUUUGUUUUACUGAUGUGAGCCGUAUGACUGAUGUGUUAUGGUAGACGUUUGCAGGUUCUUCCAAAGGGAUGGAUAGGGCUGGUGAGGUGGCAGGGGGAAACUGUGCGUAAGGAAGGGAUGGGAUUGUAUGAUACUUGCAGUUGGCAAGGAAACACACAAGAGUCUCUGGGAAGACAUGAAGGUGAAAGAAAAUGAAUACAUAGUGUUGUGGGGACUGUGCUGUGAACCAUCCAUCCAGAAUGAUGAAUUGAUGCAUUUUUCCACUAGAAAUUAAGGAGUAUGUCAAGAACCACCUGCACUUCUCUCUAUGAGUGUUUCAGCUUCCUAGGCACAAAUUGUGAACAUAUACAGCUGACAGAAAUGGUCCGGGAAAUUCCUGAAACAUGCUGAAAGUAACCUUUUGGAGCAGAUACUAAGGGAAACAGGUAGUAGAGGUUUGAUGUUCCCAAAUGUGUUGCUUGCAAACAGAGAGGGCAAAGUGUAGGUUGGUGGCUGUCUUGGUCACAGUGACUAUAAAAUAUUUAAGUUUCAAAUUGUUGGCUCUAGGAUAAAAACCUCCAACAAAACUUUUGCCCUGGAUAUGGGAAGAGCAGACUCUGGACUGGUUAAGGAAUGACUUUGAAACGGUCAAUGGAGUCUGCUUUUGAAGGUGUUGAAUGGAGAUUGGUGAUAACCAGGGGUCUGUGUUAGGACCAGUACUAUUUAAUAACUGCUUUAAUAACAUAUAUGGUGGUUUCCAGUGCAGCUGCAAGAAUUUUGCAGAUGACAGGAAGCUGAGUGACAAAAUCCAGAAGAGGGCUCACAGAAAAUCCAUCAAAACCGAGUGCAAGGCCAUGCAUCUCAGUCUACAAUUUCCUCAAUAGGGUAAAUGGCUGAAGAGUUGUUGAUCUCCUCUCUCAGGUGACCAGAAAUAGGACACAAAGAAAUGGAAUGAAGCUGGAAGGUGAUGUUCAAGGCCUUGGAAAGAAUUCUUCACUGACAAAGUGGUUGGUUGGAACAGGCUCUCCAAUGAAGGGGAUACAGCACAAAAUGAGAGUUCCAUUAGUCAUAUAGCUUGUUUUGACAGUCUUGAAAGGAUUAAGGAAUUUGAUUUGAUGAUCUUUGUGGGUACCUUUCACCUUGAGAUAUUAUACAAUUCUGUGAUAUCAUGUACUUUUACAAACAUGAAAAUAGUCUUAAUAGAGACAUGUUUGCAGCACGAUCUUGUAACAUUAAUGUUAUUGUGAGUUAUACUGCUAAUGCCAGGAGAACAAGUCUGAGGAAAAUCUUAUAAUAGUCAUGAAUCUUUAAAUCUUUAGAAAUAGUUUACCAUCUGUUCACAGAAAUUCAUUUCUUACAAUGAUGGGUUAUGAAGAUCUAUGUACCUUGAAAAACAGCAUAGUUCAGGAAAAUUUAAUCACCUAUUCUAAAUGCUUGUUGGGUUUUUUUUGAAUACAGAUGUAGUUCUGGUCACCUGAUCAUAAAAAAAUAAUUAAGGGUAACAGUAAAAGAUAUGACUAUGAUUAAAAGAGGGGGAAAAUUACAAUAAAGGAGGCUUCUGAUUAGAAAGGAUCUAAUGAGAUUGGAACAUUUAUGCAGGGAAAUCAAAAGAAGGAAUAAAAGAAUGAAUAUAAGCAAAGUGUAGAAAUUAUAGAUAAUACAAAGAUGUUACCAUACCUGAGAUACAAUAAAAUUAAAUUAAUGGGGUUCUUCUUAAUCAAUGAAAGGAAAUAUGGUCUUCUCUCAUUAACAAUAAUAAAUAAUAUUAUGCACAUAAUAAUAAGUACAGUAAU
Molecule: long non-coding RNA, 4606 nt
Organism: Catharus ustulatus (Swainson's thrush)
Lineage: Eukaryota; Metazoa; Chordata; Aves; Passeriformes; Turdidae
Exons: 3
Source: RefSeq, a predicted model, not a curated record